RNAcentral lists this unclassified non-coding RNA (413 nucleotides) under soil metagenome. RNAcentral describes it as "partial contains 5.8S ribosomal RNA, internal transcribed spacer 2, and large subunit ribosomal RNA". The stretch from base 1 to 120 matches the Rfam family "5.8S ribosomal RNA", at positions 35 to 154 of the family's 154-position model. The record is from RNAcentral.
GAUGAAGAACGUAGUGAAAUGCGAUAAGUAAUGUGAAUUGCAGAAUUCAGUGAAUCAUCGAAUCUUUGAACGCACCUUGCGCUCUUUGGUAUUCCGAAGAGCAUGCCUGUUUGAGUGUCAUGAAAAUAUCAACCUUGACUUGGGUAUUGUGCUCUAGUCUCGGCUUGGAAUUGGGUGCUUGCCGCUUUUACGAGCGGCUCACCUUAAAUGUAUUAGCUGGAUCUGUCUUUGAGACUUGGUUUGACUUGGCGUAAUAAGUAUUUCGCUAAGGACAUUCUUCGGAGUGGCCUCGUUUCUAGGACGCUUGUCCGCUUUCCAAUACAAGUUCCACCUCGUGGACAUGACUUUUUAUUAUCUGGCCUCAAAUCAGGUAGGACUACCCGCUGAACUUAAGCAUAUCAAUAAGCGGAGGA